CAGCACCUCAAGUGGUCAGGAUGAUUAUUGGGCCUAAAGCAUCCGUAGCCGGCGCUGUAAGUUUUCGGUUAAAUCUGUACGCUCAACGUACAGGCUGCCGGGAAUACUGCAGCGCUAGGGAGUGGGAGAGGUAGAUGGUACUCGGUAGGAAGGGGUAAAAUCCUUUGAUCUAUUGAUGACCACCUGUGGCGAAGGCGGUCUACCAGAACACGUCCGACGGUGAGGGAUGAAAGCUGGGGGAGCAAACCGGAUUAGAGACCCGAGUAGUCC
RNAcentral lists this ribosomal RNA (270 nucleotides) under uncultured archaeon. RNAcentral's name for it is "partial 16S ribosomal RNA". It matches the Rfam family "Archaeal small subunit ribosomal RNA", at positions 477 to 747 of the family's 1478-position model. The record is from RNAcentral.